UACGUAGGGCGCGAGCGUUGUCCGGAUUUAUUGGGCGUAAAGAGCUCGUAGGCGGCUCGUUGCGUCGGCUGUGAAAACCCGCGGCUCAACUGUGGGCUUGCAGCUGAUACGGGCGGGCUGGAGUUCGGUAGGGGAGACUGGAAUUCCUGGUGUAGCGGUGAAAUGCGCAGAUAUCAGGAGGAACACCGGUGGCGAAGGCGGGUCUCUGGGCCGAUACUGACGCUGAGGAGCGAAAGCGUGGGGAGCGAACAGG
Molecule: ribosomal RNA, 253 nt
Filed under: uncultured bacterium
Lineage: Bacteria
Description: partial 16S ribosomal RNA
Rfam family: Bacterial small subunit ribosomal RNA
Source: RNAcentral